GUCAGGGUGGCCGAGUGGUCUAAGGCGCCAGACUCAAGGAAUGUUCCUUGUCCCGACAGGGGUUUGAGAUUUCUGGUCCACAAAUGUGGGCGUGGGUUCGAACCCCACUCCUGACA
This is a non-coding RNA of Ixodes scapularis (black-legged tick), 116 nucleotides long. NCBI's taxonomy places the organism in Eukaryota, Metazoa, Arthropoda, Arachnida, Ixodida, Ixodidae. The record is from Rfam.